RNA transcript from Culicoides brevitarsis, 1462 nucleotides. It is a transcript of the gene named E3 ubiquitin-protein ligase ZNRF2, with no coding region annotated. The record is from RefSeq and is a predicted model, not a curated record. Lineage: Eukaryota; Metazoa; Arthropoda; Insecta; Diptera; Ceratopogonidae. The transcript is spliced from 6 exons.
GAUACACAAAAAAAGGAUUGAACUAAGAAAGGUCCGCAAUUACGACUUGUUUUUUUUUGCUGCGUUUCUCGCUGUUUUCGUGAAUUGCCGUGUGCGUGUGAUCUUUUCGGAGGAGAUUCGGAAAAAACGAUGCGAGGUGUCGUGAACGUCGCUGUACCCUGUUCGGUCAAAUCGGUCCUUUGAUCUGAGUCGACGACGACGACCAAGGCGACGACACACAAGUAUGGUGGAUGUAUUUUCCUCCUGCUGCAUUUACGAAAAUUUUCAACAACAAAGAAUUACAAAGCAAACUUUUAACACGUGGGUGAAGAUGGGAAAUCGUUCGGGACGCAAUUUACAGGCUUUCGAGGCGUCAGUCAAUGCGGAAGGUAGCUCAGCUGACGAAAGUGGCAACAAUGCCAUCGCAUUCCCUGGCUCAAAUCUACAGACGUACGACAUGUCCGUCAGUCCCGACAGCAGUUCGGCAGACGACAGUGGCGGAAUAGGACGUGGUGUUUUCACCUCGCUGCCUUCACACAUUUGGUCAUUAAACGGUAUUAAAUGCCCAGUUUGUAGCAAAUUUAUAUUACCAGACGAUAUUGAAUGUCAUCUAGUUAUGUGCCUAACGAAGCCUCGCUUGUCAUACAACGAGGACGUAUUGAGCGAUGCCAAAGGAGAGUGCGUUAUUUGUUUAGAGGACUUGUCACCGGGCGACGUAAUUGCACGUCUCCCCUGUCUUUGUAUCUAUCACAAAGGAUGCAUCGAUCAAUGGUUCGAAGUGAACAGAUGUUGUCCGGAACAUCCAGGCGAUUAGUCCUCGUCACACGCGAAUUAUUUUGAAUCAAAUGUGCUGUCAACUGUGUUAAAUGCUAAUCAAUUACUAAAAAGAAAACAAGACAAAAAAAUUACUGAAAAAAGGACUGAGUUCGAGUGAUGAGUGAGAGAAUUAAUUUUACAUCACAUCACACACCAGAAGAAGAUGAAAACAAGACCAGUGCUAUAAAAACACUUUAAUUUUAAUACAAAAUAAAUGAUAAUGAUAAAAAUAAACAAAACCAACGAUCUGGUGCACUAUAGUGACGCGACACGAUCAAUUCUGUAAAAAAAAAAUAAAUCCAAAAAAAUUAUCCAACAGUCAACAAAAGUAACAACAACACGAAAGAAUGUUGGAACAAAAAUUUGUCAGACGUCAACUAAACCACUAAAUAUGUAAAUAUAUCAAUAGUAGACUAAAAUAUACACAUAUUAUUAUUUAGAAAAGUAAACAAAACAAGCAACAUUGAAAAACUAAGCUAACAGAAAAAAAGUUUGAACUUUUUCUUUGCUACCCACAACUAUCUAAUAAACUCUUUGAAUUAUUUAUUUUCUAAAUUGAUUAUUACCUUUUUAUAGAUUUUUAACCUUUUUCUACUAUUUAUCAUUUUUUUAUUAUUUUAUUUCUUUUUUUUAUUAAUAAAAUGACGUUUCUCAAUGAAUGUUGUUA